Long non-coding RNA from Equus asinus (donkey), 2731 nucleotides. Lineage: Eukaryota; Metazoa; Chordata; Mammalia; Perissodactyla; Equidae. The record is from Ensembl.
GGGAAUCUCAGGAACAAGCAUAUAAUUUGUCCAAGAUUUAUUUCUUCUCAGAAGUGUAAGUGCAGUUUUUAAUUCUGUAUAUUAUUUAAUAUUUUACCAAUAAAAUAAACUUCUGACAUAAAAAGUUUGCUAUAAAAACUUUCUGGUGAAAAUUCUGUACACAAACACAUCUUCCAAAUACAGAAGAAUAAACCCUGGGAUAGAUUCAGGUGUAUUUCAGUUGUCAUUGACGCUGCGUACACAUGUCACACGUCCUGACACGUGAGAGCAGCCGUCCCACGAGUAAGUGCCAUGGAGUCCAGAGCACAGGGCAGAGAAGUCCCUUAUUUGUUAAGGGUGACAUCUCUUUGCUCUUCAGGCAGUUUUCCUAUCUCUCUUAUUUUACCUUUAUAACUAAUUUGAGAGGUAUGUAUGCCAGCACCUAUCCCCUAUUAAUAGAAGAAAAAAGUGAGACCCAAGGGAAGAGAGUUGUGACUUGCUCCAAAGUGCACAGUGAAUUUCAUAAGCAGUCCAAGUAAUGGUCAAUAACCAUAUUAGAAGCUAGCAUUUCUUAGGAGUCAGACCAAGAUUAAAUAAAGGAUUAAUUCACAGAGAUUGUUCAAUCACAUUGGCAAUCUCACUAUAUGAGAGAGAAACUUCUCAGAUUUUACAAAUACAGUUUGUUUUACCAUGAGAAGUUCUGUUACAAUUCUCUUCAUAACCAGAAAUGUAAAAGGGCACAUGCGAUUGCAGACUCAUUUUAUUUAGCUUUAGCUAUGUAUUAUCCCCCAUGCCAAUUUAAAGUCUACCGUCACAUUUGAGAUAGCCAUUAGAAUUUAUCUUCAUAGGUAAGUAUUUACAGAAUUCCAUGGAUAUUUAUCACAUUCCCCACUAACUUCACUGCCAUAUGCCACACAGAUGAAAAAUACUACAAAUUCAAAUGAAAUUUUUUUCUUCCUUGACUUUUAAUUCAAAAUACUAACUUAACUGAUGGGGGGGAGUGCAAACAAAGGGAGUAACAAGGCAAAGAAGAAAAAAAGAGAAUGAACUUAACAGAUGACUAGCAUUAAGUUUGUGAAAGAUCCCUCCAGUAGCAGCGAGAAAUGCUUAUCAGAUCUCCUGCUUUAUCGUAUUGACAAGAGCAAAAUGGAAAAGAUUUUUUUAAAACAUGCCAUAUGUUCUUGAUUUUUCUAUUGCAUUAGGGUCAGAGAAACAAAUAAUUGAAAUCUUGAUCUGAUUGUAAGACUUUUUAUCACUAUACUCAAGUCAAAGGGCUGUCCUUGGGGUGCGAGCCACCUUGUGAAGGAAGUUCAUUUAGCAUUUUAGCAACUCUGUUUCUUACUAUUAGGGUGUUUUAAGAUGGACCCGUUAAACUUCCAGCAAAACCUCAUGUUCUGUUAAUAGCCCCACUAACAGUUCCCAGUGUAAUCUUUUAACAUCUCACUAGAAAUACCAAUUAAAGAUAACUGGUGAAAUUGAAUUUUGCUGCUUUUCUCUGAUUUGAAGCAAAACUGGAAGGAGGUACUUCCGUAAACUAGCCUCACGGGCAGAUGGAAGGAAUUGACAAAGAGAUAAAGUGUCCAUAAUCCCAUAUGAAAAUGGGUUGAAGUGGAGAGACGUCCUGGAAAACAAAAGUAUGCGCAGUCUGAGAAGAAGAAAUAUUAGCUUUUUGCUUUUGUCCUCACAGUUGCUCUAUAAUCCUAGAAUAUGUCUUCGAUCAAACUAACUGCUUCUAACUUGAAAUUUUGUCAAGCACAGGACAAAUCCCUCAAAACAGUAAAAACAGACGCUGCCCAUGUCGGUGUUGAGUUGUUUGUUCUGGAAACCCUUAAAAAAGAGCUGUAUGACCCUGAUCAUCUGACCAACUGGAACCUAUGCAAAGAAGCAAGAUUUUUUAGUGCUCCAGGAAGAACCAAGAGUAAAAAGGAAGUCAGAGACCCCACAGAGCUCCCUAGUCCCUUCCACCAUGUGAGGACACAGUGAGAAGUCACCAGCCAUGAAACAGGAAGAGAGCUUUCACCAGAACGCAACCAUGAUGGCACCUUGAUCUUGGACUUCCAGCCUCCAGAACUGAAGGAGACAUGUACAACCAUUUGGAAUUUCUUGGCUUUGACCUGUCAAGUCUCUGCAGUCUUCAAGGAUGGUUGCUGUAGUUACGCCUACCAUCAUAUUCUCCAGUCGUACUUCUACAAUGCAACAUAAUUUACAGACACAGCUUCUCAUAAAGAUUUCCAAAGAUCAGCCCUGAGCUAACAUCUGCCACCAAUCCUCCUCUUUUUGCUGAGGAAGACUGGCCCUGAGCUAACAUCCGUGCCCAUCUUCCUCUACUUUAUACGUGCGAUGCCUGCCACAGCAUGGCUUGAUGAGCAAUGCAUAGAUCCGCACCUGGGAUCCGAACUGGCAAACCCCGGGCCGCCCAAGCGGAACAGCCAAACUUAACUGCUGCGCCACCCGCCGGCCCCAACAAGCUCCUAAUUUUAGGAAACAAGAAAUACAAUUGGGAAAUUAGGAAACAAAAAGAUUCCAAGACAAUCGUAAAGGAAUAGAGAAAAUAGACCUUAGACUGUGUAAGUACUCAAGGCCUUCACUGAAAGGAGAAGAAGGACCUUUCUCAUUGGAUGAGUGUCUUAUUUGUGCAGACUGUAAAGGAAGUGAAUUCUGAAGACAUAGGGAAACGUAGAGUGCCUGAGAGGGCUUCUGGGCAGAGGGAGCAGGGUAAAGCUUGGGAAAGUCUAACGUCUAUGAGAAAUGU